RNAcentral lists this ribosomal RNA (253 nucleotides) under uncultured bacterium. Its description in RNAcentral is "partial 16S ribosomal RNA". It matches the Rfam family "Bacterial small subunit ribosomal RNA", at positions 524 to 776 of the family's 1533-position model. The record is from RNAcentral.
UACGGAGGGUGCAAGCGUUGUUCGGAUUGACUGGGCGUAAAGCGCACGUAGGCGGGUUCGUAAGUCGGAUGUGAAAUCCCUGGGCUUAACCUAGGAACUGCAUCCGAAACUGCGGAUCUUGAAUGCUUGAGAGGUUGGUGGAAUUCCUGGUGUAGGAGUGAAAUCCGUAGAUAUCAGGAGGAACAUCGGAGGCGAAGGCGGCCAACUGGCAGUGCAUUGACGCUGAGGUGCGAAAGCGUGGGUAGCAAACAGG